This 292-nucleotide ribosomal RNA is filed under the name uncultured Planctomycetota bacterium. RNAcentral describes it as "uncultured planctomycete partial 16S ribosomal RNA". Lineage: Bacteria; Pseudomonadati; Planctomycetota. The record is from RNAcentral.
GGACUACACGGGUUUCUAAUCCCGUUUGCUCCCCUGGCUUUCGCGCCUCAGCGUCAGAAGAGGUCCAGCAGACCGCUUUCGCCACCGGCGUUCCUUCCGAUAUCUACGCAUUUCACCGCUCCACCGGAAGUUCCGUCUGCCCCUACCUCCCUCCAGCCCGCCAGUAUCAGAAGCACUUUUCCGGUUAAGCCGAAAGAUUUCACCCCUGACUUGGCAAGCCGCCUACGCGCCCUUUAAGCCCAGUGAAUCCGAACAACGUUCGCACGGUUCGUCUUACCGCGGCUGCUGGCAC